UACGUAGGGUGCGAGCGUUAAUCGGAAUUACUGGGCGUAAAGCGUGCGCAGGCGGCCCAGCAAGUCGAGUGUGAAAGCCCCGAGCUUAACUUGGGAACUGCGCUCGAAACUACUUGGCUAGAGUGUGGCAGAGGGAGGUGGAAUUCCACGUGUAGCGGUGAAAUGCGUAGAGAUGUGGAGGAACACCGAUGGCGAAGGCAGCCUCCUGGGCCAACACUGACGCUCAAACACGACAGCGUGGGGAGCGAACGGG
This 253-nucleotide ribosomal RNA is filed under the name uncultured bacterium. RNAcentral's name for it is "partial 16S ribosomal RNA". It matches the Rfam family "Bacterial small subunit ribosomal RNA", at positions 524 to 776 of the family's 1533-position model. The record is from RNAcentral.